GAUGCAGGGGUCUAGGAAUUGGGGUGAGCAUUGCUAAGCCUGGCGAUUAAUCAAAAUGGCGUGGAAGGAAUCAGGUGAACCAAUUGUUGUCUAAGGUGCAGCGAAUGGAUUUGCCGCGCUGUAACCGAAUUACAAGCCUACCUCGAUCCUCUUUUCGUCGGCUUCCCCGUCACUUCUCAGGCCCACAGGGCUGGAAAAAGCAGACCUCGAAGCAGCCGCGGAAGCCGGAAGGAAGGGUCAGAGGAACACAGAAGGGGCAAAAGGCAUUCCUUGGGGCCACCUUGGGGAUCUCCGGUGAUUCAGAAGCGAGGCAUUCAACAAACAAACAAGGUUGAUUCAGAAGCGAGGCAUUCAACAAACAAACACACAAGUUAUAGGAAUAAAGUUCCCCAAAUAAUUGUGAACAAUUAACCCCAAACUGAUAAAACCCAAAUCCUGUAAACUCAGGGCUUGACGGAUAAGGAGCUGGUUUAAGCCUGGGUUCCUUUGGAGGGGAUGAUGAUAAGCAGCGCCUCCUUGAAUAAAUGAGGAAAGGACAGAAAGUGGGAUGGAGACCCCGAAGAGGAGGUGAUUCCGGCAUGACUCAGUCGUCUCAAGGAGCGAGCAAGAAGAAGCGAUCAGGCCAGGCGGCAGCCGCUGGAUCCUCAGCCUGCUAAUGCUUCUUGGAAUGAAUACAGAUGCUCUCGGAAUUGCCUCCUCGCCUGCCACAAUAAAGACGGAGAAAGCA
Hemicordylus capensis (graceful crag lizard) is the source of this 727-nucleotide long non-coding RNA. RefSeq lists it as uncharacterized. The record is from RefSeq and is a predicted model, not a curated record. The transcript has 3 exons. NCBI's taxonomy places the organism in Eukaryota, Metazoa, Chordata, Lepidosauria, Squamata, Cordylidae.